UUAAUCCUUUAACCAUAAUAAAUGGUGUAUCAAUACAUUGGUGAUUAUUACAUACAGAAGCAUUAGAUAAUUUAUAUUUGAUAAAUAAUCUACUGCCAUCUGCUGUGUUUAAUAUCUGAGUAGUUUUAUCAAAGUAUUUUGAAGGUACAAGUCCUUCAUUUAUACAAUUGAGAUCAGCUCCUGAAUCUAUAAGGGCUGAUGUUUCAAAACUAUAGUUUUUUGCAACAAUGAUUUUGACUUGGACAAACCAUUUUUGUACAAUUAUUUUAUUUAUCAUAUUAACUGAAG
This 288-nucleotide long non-coding RNA is filed under the name Amborella trichopoda. RNAcentral describes it as "long non-coding RNA (ATRI_LNC004226)". The record is from RNAcentral. Lineage: Eukaryota; Viridiplantae; Streptophyta; Magnoliopsida; Amborellales; Amborellaceae.